Molecule: ribosomal RNA, 465 nt
Filed under: uncultured bacterium
Lineage: Bacteria
Description: partial 16S ribosomal RNA
Rfam family: Bacterial small subunit ribosomal RNA
Source: RNAcentral
GACGAACGCUGGCGGCGUGCUUAACACAUGCAAGUCGUACGGUAAGGCCCUUUCGGGGGUACACGAGUGGCGAACGGGGGAGUAACACGUGAGUAACCUGCCCACAACUUUGGGAUAACGCUAGGAAACUGGUGCUAAUACUGGAAAUGUGCUCCUGCUGCAUGGGGGGGGUUGGAAAGCUCCGGCGGUUGUGGAUGGACUCGCGGCCUAUCAGCUUGUUGGUGGGGUAGUGGCCUACCAAAGCGGCGACGGGUAGCCGGCCUGAGGGGGUGACCGGCGACAUUGAGACCGAGAUACGGCACCGACUCCUAAGGGAGGCAGCAGUGGGGAAUAUUGCACAAUGGGCGCAAGCCUGAUGCAGAAACGCUGCGUGCGGGAUGACGGCCUUCGGGUUGUAAACCGCUUUCAGCAGGGACGAAGCUUUUUGUGACGGUACCUGCAGAAGAAGCACCGGCUAACUACGUG